RNAcentral lists this ribosomal RNA (1437 nucleotides) under uncultured organism. Its description in RNAcentral is "SSU rRNA". It matches the Rfam family "Bacterial small subunit ribosomal RNA". The record is from RNAcentral.
GCUACAGGCUUAACACAUGCAAGUCGAGGGGCAGCAUUUCAGUUUGCUUGCAAACUGGAGAUGGCGACCGGCGCACGGGUGAGUAACACGUAUCCAACCUGCCGAUAACUCGGGGAUAGCCUUUCGAAAGAAAGAUUAAUACCCGAUGGUAUAAUCAGACCGCAUGGUCUUGUUAUUAAAGAAUUUCGGUUAUCGAUGGGGAUGCGUUCCAUUAGGCAGUUGGUGAGGUAACGGCUCACCAAACCUUCGAUGGAUAGGGGUUCUGAGAGGAAGGUCCCCCACAUUGGAACUGAGACACGGUCCAAACUCCUACGGGAGGCAGCAGUGAGGAAUAUUGGUCAAUGGGCGCAGGCCUGAACCAGCCAAGUAGCGUGAAGGAUGACUGCCCUAUGGGUUGUAAACUUCUUUUAUAUGGGAAUAAAGUUUUCCACGUGUGGAAUUUUGUAUGUACCAUAUGAAUAAGGAUCGGCUAACUCCGUGCCAGCAGCCGCGGUAAUACGGAGGAUCCGAGCGUUAUCCGGAUUUAUUGGGUUUAAAGGGAGCGUAGGUGGACAGUUAAGUCAGUUGUGAAAGUUUGCGGCUCAACCGUAAAAUUGCAGUUGAUACUGGCUGUCUUGAGUACAGUAGAGGUGGGCGGAAUUCGUGGUGUAGCGGUGAAAUGCUUAGAUAUCACGAAGAACUCCGAUUGCGAAGGCAACUCACUGGACUGCAACUGACACUGAUGCUCGAAAGUGUGGGUAUCAAACAGGAUUAGAUACCCUGGUAGUCCACACAGUAAACGAUGAAUACUCGCUGUUUGCGAUAUACAGUAAGCGGCCAAGCGAAAGCAUUAAGUAUUCCACCUGGGGAGUACGCCGGCAACGGUGAAACUCAAAGGAAUUGACGGGGGCCCGCACAAGCGGAGGAACAUGUGGUUUAAUUCGAUGAUACGCGAGGAACCUUACCCGGGCUUAAAUUGCAUUUGAAUAUAUUGGAAACAGUAUAGCCGUAAGGCAAAUGUGAAGGUGCUGCAUGGUUGUCGUCAGCUCGUGCCGUGAGGUGUCGGCUUAAGUGCCAUAACGAGCGCAACCCUUAUCUUUAGUUACUAACAGGUCAUGCUGAGGACUCUAGAGAGACUGCCGUCGUAAGAUGUGAGGAAGGUGGGGAUGACGUCAAAUCAGCACGGCCCUUACGUCCGGGGCUACACACGUGUUACAAUGGGGGGUACAGAAGGCAGCUACCUGGUGACAGGAUGCUAAUCCCAAAAGCCUCUCUCAGUUCGGAUCGAAGUCUGCAACCCGACUUCGUGAAGCUGGAUUCGCUAGUAAUCGCGCAUCAGCCAUGGCGCGGUGAAUACGUUCCCGGGCCUUGUACACACCGCCCGUCAAGCCAUGAAAGCCGGGGGCGCCUAAAGUCCGUGACCGCAAGGAGCGGCCUAGGGCGAAACUGGUAAUUGGG